GUUUUUAGCAACCCAGAAACUUCAGAUUUUCUCCAAGAGUUCCAGUGCACUUCAGUCCUUCAACCUCCACUUUCAAGUCCAGUUCUUCCACCAACUUAUCACAAGUUCGUUUCUCCUGCAUUCUCCUACUUUUUGACUUGUUUUUAUGCUUUAGAUUGUAAUAUGCACUUGUUUUUUUAACUCGAUGCAUACCGAAAAAAACAUAUUUAAACUACGUUCAUAUAUAUUAUAAUAUUUUAUUUUAUAAAUCUCAAUUUAAUAAAUUUUACAUUAUUUUAUUGUGUUGGACAACUUAUAAUACAAGUUUUGUAACUAAUUAAUUUGUCACGUGUUCUUCUUCUCGUCCUAUCAUUGAAAUCAAAACGUCUGAAAAGUAUAAAUGAAAGUGUGAGAGAAAUAAUAAGAGUAAAAAUGAAAUAAGAAUAAAAUUAUAGGCUUUAAAAGAAACAAAAUAUUUUCAACUUAACUAUUAAUAGCAGUGACAAAAGUCAUUAAAGCAUCUCGCAAGGGAAAGUUUUAUGCACAUAGUCCUUGGACAAUCAAAGUCAGAACUGCAACUUUUCUUCAAAUAGAAUUCUGAGUUCCAACUAUGCGAGUUCCACUCCUCACCUACUGUAAUGUGAAACAAGUAUAAUAAAAUGUUAUUAAAAGAUGAUAAAAUAUUGUGUAUAAGGUAAAUAAGAGAAUUUGAAAAGGAUGAUAUAGGGGAAUUACCAAUACUGGUUACAACAAGAAAUAGUGAAAGAAAGAUGGACAUAGUAUAAACAAACUUCAAAGUUUCACCCAUAUUUUUCCUCCUUU
Molecule: long non-coding RNA, 801 nt
Filed under: Medicago truncatula (barrel medic)
Lineage: Eukaryota; Viridiplantae; Streptophyta; Magnoliopsida; Fabales; Fabaceae
Description: lncRNA gene24911
Source: RNAcentral